ACCGUUUUGGUCCUAGACCUAUUAUUAUUUUUAGCCCCACUUACACAUGCAAGCAUCCACACCCCAGUGCUAACACCCACCUACAACACCCCUUGGACUUGGAGCAGAUAUCAGGCACACAUACGUUAGCCCAAAACAUCUAGCCACGCCACCCCCCCACGGGCCCCAGCAGUGAUAAACAUUAAGCAAUGAGCACACACUCGACUUAGUCAGAGCUAAAUAUACCACAAGGGCCGGUAAACUCCGUGCCAGCCACCGCGGUUAUACGUAGGGCCCAAAAUAAUACCCACGGCGUAAAGCGUGCUUAAAGAUAUAACUACCACAAGGACAUAAAACAAGCCCACAGUAGUAAAAUACGUUCCUACUAGAAACACCAGAUCCACCAAACUAGUAAAUCUUGACCACACGAAAGCUAAGACACAAACUAGGAUUAGAUACCCUACUAUGCUCAGCCAUAAACCAAGGCAACCGCCCCACCAAACCUGCCCGCCAGAGAAUUACAAGCAAACGCUUUAAACCCAAAGGACUUGACGGUGUCCCACACCAACCUAGAGGAGCCUGUCCUAUAAUCGAUACCCCACGCUAAAUCAUACCCCCACUCGCACCCACAGCCUAUAUACCGCCGUCGCCAGCUAGCCUGAUGACAGCACACCAUAGCCAACAAAACAGUUCACCACUAACACGUCAGGUCAAGGUGUAGCUAAUGUGGGGGGCUGAGAUGGGCUACAUUUCCUAUCUUAGGACACUACCAACCGCAACAUGAAAUAUAAGCCAAAAGGCGGAUUUAACAGUAAGAGUAGACAAGACAUACUACCCUGAAGCCAGCUCUGGGACGCGUACACACCGCCCGUCAUCCUCCUCACCAUAACACCAAACACUACAUAAACCACACCCAACCAAAUUAGAUGAGGCAAGUCGUAACAUGGUAAGUGUAUCGGAAGAUGCACUUGGAAA
Molecule: non-coding RNA, 954 nt
Filed under: Pachydactylus punctatus
Lineage: Eukaryota; Metazoa; Chordata; Lepidosauria; Squamata; Gekkonidae
Description: 12S rRNA
Rfam family: Bacterial small subunit ribosomal RNA
Source: RNAcentral